AUUCAGCUGACGAGUUUCAAAUAGGACGAAACAAGUGUCCUCGAU
This 45-nucleotide non-coding RNA is filed under the name Schistosoma mansoni. Lineage: Eukaryota; Metazoa; Platyhelminthes; Trematoda; Strigeidida; Schistosomatidae. The record is from RNAcentral.